GCCAAGCGAAUUAAAAUGUAUUGUGUC
RNAcentral lists this small RNA (27 nucleotides) under Bombyx mori (domestic silkworm). Its description in RNAcentral is "ovarian small RNA-5306". Lineage: Eukaryota; Metazoa; Arthropoda; Insecta; Lepidoptera; Bombycidae. The record is from RNAcentral.